Long non-coding RNA from Anguilla anguilla (European eel), 150 nucleotides. RefSeq lists it as uncharacterized. The record is from RefSeq and is a predicted model, not a curated record. NCBI's taxonomy places the organism in Eukaryota, Metazoa, Chordata, Actinopteri, Anguilliformes, Anguillidae. The transcript has 3 exons.
UGACGGAGCGCGUGCUGGCCGGGGCCGAGGGGCUGGUCAGGGUUAGGGUUAGGGUUAGGGUUAGGGUUAGGGUUAGGUACUGACGGAGCGCGUGCUGGCCGGGGCCGAGGGGCUGGUCAGGGUUAGGGUUAGGGUUAGGGUUAGGUACUG